GAUGAACGCUGGCGGCGUGCCUAAUACAUGCAAGUCGAGCGAACAGACGAGGAGCUUGCUCCUCUGACGUUAGCGGCGGACGGGUGAGUAACACGUGGAUAACCUACCUAUAAGACUGGGAUAACUUCGGGAAACCGGAGCUAAUACCGGAUAAUAUAUUGAACCGCAUGGUUCAAUAGUGAAAGACGGUUUUGCUGUCACUUAUAGAUGGAUCCGCGCCGCAUUAGCUAGUUGGUAAGAUAACGGCUUACCAAGGCAACGAUGCGUAGCCGACCUGAGAGGGUGAUCGGCCACACUGGAACUGAGACACGGUCCAGACUCCUACGGGAGGCAGCAGUAGGGAAUCUUCCGCAAAGGGCGAAAGCUUGACGGAGCAACGCCGCGUGAGUGAUGAAGGUCUUCGGAUCGUAAAACUCUGUUAUUAGGGAAGAACAAAUGUGUAAGUAACUAUGCACGUCUUGACGGUACCUAAUCAGAAAGCCACGGCUAACUACGUG
RNAcentral lists this ribosomal RNA (497 nucleotides) under uncultured bacterium. RNAcentral describes it as "partial 16S ribosomal RNA". It matches the Rfam family "Bacterial small subunit ribosomal RNA", at positions 28 to 507 of the family's 1533-position model. The record is from RNAcentral.